Erinaceus europaeus (western European hedgehog) is the source of this 305-nucleotide unclassified non-coding RNA. Its record names the gene 7SK. It matches the Rfam family "7SK RNA". From Rfam's summary of the family: 7SK was discovered as an abundant small nuclear RNA in the mid-70s but a possible function has only recently been suggested. Two independent studies have found that 7SK RNA binds the CDK9/cyclin T complex (known as elongation factor P-TEFb). P-TEFb activates transcription by phosphorylating the C-terminal domain of RNA polymerase II. The record is from Ensembl. Lineage: Eukaryota; Metazoa; Chordata; Mammalia; Eulipotyphla; Erinaceidae.
GGAUCUCAGGUCGAUCUGGCUGCCUACUGAUCGCCAGGGUUGAUUCGGCUGACCUGGAUGGCUACAUGGGUUUCCCUUUCCUCCUUUACCACUCCAUGUGUGUCCCUCCUGAAGUUGCCACUGGGUCGAAGAGGACAGCCUUCCCCAAAUAGAGACGGAUCGGUCUUCAGUCGAGGGUAUAGGAGUAGUUGUGCUCCCCUGCUAGAACCUUCAAACAAGCUCUCAUUAUAAUCCUAAAAAAGAAAAAAACCAAAAUAUUGCUGAUUGAGGCAACAUAGUGCUUAUGCAAACAGAUUUCCAAAGUU